CUCUCCUCCAUCUAGUUUGUCAGAGGAUAGUCAGUCUUAUCUUAUCAACCAGCGAGUUCCCUUCUCAAUAACUGAGUCCAGACCGUAUUUCUAAAGAGAUUUGAAAUAGCACAUGGUAAGGAAAAUACAGCUGUUUGAGCUGUCUGUUAUUGUCCUGAGGUGGUGUUAUUAUCCUGAGGUGGUGUUAUUGUCCUGAGGUUGUGUUAUUAUCCUGAGGUGGUGUUAUUGUCCUGAGGUGGUGUUAUUGUCCUGAGGUGGUGUUAUUGUCCUGAGGUGGUGUUAUUAUCCUGAGGUGGUGUUAUUGUCCUGAGGUGGUGUUAUUGUCCUGAGGUGGUGUUAUUGUCCUGAGGUGGUGUUAUUAUCCUGAGGUGGUGUUAUUAUCCUGAGGUGGUGUUAUUAUCCUGAGGUUGUGUGAGAGACUAUAUGAGAGAAGGUGUGAGGGCUGGUGUGUGGAGUCUCUUGGGCCACAACAUGUCUGUCAGCUGAUGAUAGAAACGUCAGCGGUGAGUUGAACGAUCGUAGCAUGUAGAGAACGCACUGACCCAGAUAUGCCCCUCCCCUUCCUCUUUAGUGCCCCUCCC
This 581-nucleotide long non-coding RNA is filed under the name Salmo salar (Atlantic salmon). RNAcentral's name for it is "lncRNA (ENSSSAG00000110739.1)". The record is from RNAcentral. Lineage: Eukaryota; Metazoa; Chordata; Actinopteri; Salmoniformes; Salmonidae.